GGGCAAUUGGUCUAGUGGUAUGAUUUCCGCUUCGCAUGUGGACUUGUUCGAGUGACAUACAUUGUGGUUCAAUCCCGGUAUUGUCCA
Non-coding RNA from Pseudoneurospora amorphoporcata, 87 nucleotides. NCBI's taxonomy places the organism in Eukaryota, Fungi, Ascomycota, Sordariomycetes, Sordariales, Sordariaceae. The record is from the annotation of a GenBank genome assembly.